RNAcentral lists this ribosomal RNA (70 nucleotides) under Rathayibacter sp. AY1C1. RNAcentral describes it as "partial 16S ribosomal RNA". It matches the Rfam family "Bacterial small subunit ribosomal RNA", at positions 1 to 68 of the family's 1533-position model. RNAcentral also lists the same sequence under 9 other names. The record is from RNAcentral. Lineage: Bacteria; Bacillati; Actinomycetota; Actinomycetes; Micrococcales; Microbacteriaceae.
UUUUUACGGAGAGUUUGAUCCUGGCUCAGGACGAACGCUGGCGGCGUGCUUAACACAUGCAAGUCGAACG